This 224-nucleotide long non-coding RNA is filed under the name Elaeis guineensis (African oil palm). Its description in RNAcentral is "long non-coding RNA (EGUI_LNC021109)". Lineage: Eukaryota; Viridiplantae; Streptophyta; Magnoliopsida; Arecales; Arecaceae. The record is from RNAcentral.
CCUGCUGUAAAUGGCAAAUCAUGAUAUUUAUGUCAAACCUAUGCUAGUUUCCCAGUGCAUCAUCUGUCUCAGACUCUCAGUACAUGUUGAUGCACUACUGUACUCUCAAAUUCCACCUUCUUUCUACUGAAAGAAAAGCAAGCAAAGCAAGGCUUUGAGUCCAAAAUUUUGGGACCCACUUGCAACGUUUCUUUCUACUGACAAAGUCACAAAAAUGUACCAGA